UCCGGUCUUGAUAGCGAAAGGGUCACACCCGUUCUCAUUCCGAACACGGAAGUUAAGCCUUUCUGCGCCGAUGGUACUGCAGGCGAGAGCCGUGUGGGAGAGUAGGACGAGGCCGGAU
RNAcentral lists this ribosomal RNA (118 nucleotides) under Nitrospina sp. RNAcentral also lists the same sequence under 1 other name. Lineage: Bacteria; Pseudomonadati; Nitrospinota; Nitrospinia; Nitrospinales; Nitrospinaceae. The record is from RNAcentral.